This 23-nucleotide non-coding RNA is filed under the name Arabidopsis thaliana (thale cress). Lineage: Eukaryota; Viridiplantae; Streptophyta; Magnoliopsida; Brassicales; Brassicaceae. The record is from RNAcentral.
AACGAGUGCAAAUGGGUCUCUGU